Molecule: long non-coding RNA, 446 nt
Organism: Cyprinus carpio carpio
Lineage: Eukaryota; Metazoa; Chordata; Actinopteri; Cypriniformes; Cyprinidae
Source: Ensembl
AAACUAAAGCCGAACCGCAAGUUUGUGUUUAGUGUGGUCCUGCUACAGAUACUAUUAUUGUCUUAACAAUUCUGUCAUAAAGCACCACAUUCAGACAGAACUGCCGUUCUGCCGUCACAGAUGAAUUUUUACAGGCGUGUUGUCAGAUGAUCCAGACGGACAUGUGAGGUCUCAUUCUGACAUUAAAACAGAGGUGAGAUUGUCACAUCAAAACCCUUCAGCAUGUUCUCAAGAACACAACAUCAGUGAGACACCAGCAGCUGAAGAUCUGAUCAUCAUCAUCAUCAUCAUCAUCAUCUCAGACUCCAUCACUCAGACUACAGUCUCUUCAGCUCCGGGACUCUUCUUCAGACUCAUCUGAUCACAAACUAACAGAGUAAUGAACCGUUUCUUUCUCAGAUCUGUGUCUCAGUACUGCACUGCUGCUGCACUUCACUGACAACAUU